ACCAGGAUGGCCGAGUGGUUAAGGCCUUGGACUUAAGAACCAAUAGAUAUCUGUCUGUGUGGGUUCGAACCCCACUCCUGGUA
This 83-nucleotide transfer RNA is filed under the name Ovis aries (sheep). RNAcentral's name for it is "tRNA-Leu (TAA) (tRNA-Leu-TAA-5-1)". It matches the Rfam family "tRNA". Rfam says of the family: Transfer RNA (tRNA) molecules are approximately 80 nucleotides in length. Their secondary structure includes four short double-helical elements and three loops (D, anti-codon, and T loops). Lineage: Eukaryota; Metazoa; Chordata; Mammalia; Artiodactyla; Bovidae. The record is from Rfam by way of RNAcentral.